Long non-coding RNA from Spea bombifrons (plains spadefoot toad), 540 nucleotides. RefSeq lists it as uncharacterized. The transcript is spliced from 2 exons. The record is from RefSeq and is a predicted model, not a curated record. Lineage: Eukaryota; Metazoa; Chordata; Amphibia; Anura; Pelobatidae.
AAUAACCAUAGUAUAAACAACCCAGGAAGCAACAAGGUAACAAAAAAUGCAUCAUAUCUCAAUUAGUCGGGAAGUUUGACAGCUUUCAGCGAAAAUUUUGCUGCAAUAAGUAAAAUGAAAGCCAAGUGAUAUAAUUUACUUUUGUGUCACCAUUUACCAUUCACAUCAUUGUUUAUGUUUGUUGAUUAUUUUGCAAGGCUUCAUUUUGAAUUCCAAAAUCCACCGGAGCAUAUUGCGUGUCUACGGUAAGGACAUUUUAGUCUGCAAACGGACAGUGAGUCAUAUUUUAUCCUUCCCUGACUAGUGAAUCCAGUGAAUGCAUGUAAAUUGGACAGCUAGAAAGAAUAGGCUAAGAGAGAUUAUUUACUUAUUGAUAAGGAAAUUUAAUUCAUUCUGCCCUUUGUGCUUCUUGAAAGGUAAUUGAUUAUACAACAUAAUUAAAAAAAGAAUUUCCAGGUACAUAGCAUGGAUCCUUUUUUUCCCAGAUUGCAAUUUAAGAGAGAUCUGGUAUUUAGAAUUUUAAAGGUUCAGACAAAAGAA